Astyanax mexicanus (Mexican tetra) is the source of this 1072-nucleotide long non-coding RNA. RefSeq lists it as uncharacterized. The transcript is spliced from 5 exons. The record is from RefSeq and is a predicted model, not a curated record. NCBI's taxonomy places the organism in Eukaryota, Metazoa, Chordata, Actinopteri, Characiformes, Acestrorhamphidae.
CUACCCUGAUAGCAGACUACUCCGAUCCGGAUCCGUUUUACCUCCGGCAGAUCCGCGCUACAGUCAGGUCUGUUUAGUGGAUCUGGUCCGGCUUCACUCCGGGUUCGGGUUAUGAUUGUGACUCACGUUCAGAUCCGUUUUACUGACGGUAAAUCCGCAUAACAGUCCGUCUCAUUUCACGCCUUCCAUAUGACUUCGGCACGGAGUCAGAUACCAGAUGUGAGUUCAGUGUCAGUUCAGUGUCGUUUUGCGGAUCCGGGCCGCAUCGGCAGAGCGGCACAGGAGCGGGAGAAAUUCAAACUCAGCGCGAGGACCAACUGACAUCUGCUGAAUCUGCGCUUCAGGUGUAAUCAUUUACCCAUCAAAUCACCUAACAAGGAUCAGCCUGGAUCCUAACAGUACUUGAUGCACUGAGCAGUGACCUUAUACAUAGAGUAGUUAAGCAGGAUUUGGUAUCCGCAAAAUGGUUCGAGGUCCUCAGCCCUCGCCUCCCCCAGCACAGAGGAAAACUACCAAGGGCGGUACUCUCAUUAUAGGAGAUUCAAUUGUUAGACAUUUAAAAGUAUCUAAGAGUAAUGGCACAAUUUCAUGUCUUCCAGAUGCUUGCAUGCUGGUAGUCGGCAAGCGGCUCCCUGGGGCGCAUUGCCAAAGCAGGAACCCCGGCACCAUCGCCCUCCACGUGGGGAUGAGCUUUCGGGAGCGACCGGCCCCGUUCCACAGAGACAGGCUUCUCUCUGUGAACAUCGAGGCGGUGCUACGCUGAGACUGACUGUCUCUACCCAGUCACACCAGCCAAGCUGCACUGUAGUGGUGUUAAGUGUCCAAGAAUGCUCUCAUCAGUGGAGGCACAGCUGGCUGCAAAAAACGUCUGUGUCUGCAUGUUUAUAUUAUGUGAAUUAAAAAUGGUUUUAUUAUUAAAAUAAUUGUAUUAAUGCCUGUUGAUUUAUAAAUUGUUUAAUUGAAAUCAAAUUUUAUUUAAGUAGCUUAAUUAAGUAUUGCAUUUAUAACUGAUGGUAUUUUAUUUAAUUAGCUUAAGUAUUGCAUUUAUAAGUGAUGGUAUUUUAUUUUAAUU